This is a long non-coding RNA of Parus major (Great Tit), 1013 nucleotides long. RefSeq lists it as uncharacterized. Lineage: Eukaryota; Metazoa; Chordata; Aves; Passeriformes; Paridae. The transcript has 2 exons. The record is from RefSeq and is a predicted model, not a curated record.
UUUAUAGAACUUUCAUGGGAAAGUAACUAAAACUAUGAAAACAUUAUCAGAAGGCUUUAAUUUUCAGGGCAACAUCAUGAAGCUAUGAAGAGGUGAGCACCAGAAACCUGGGUUUGGGUGGUAUCUCAGCAGGUAGGUUGUGUGUGCUCCCAGCUGAGCACAUCCACGGCCUGCCAAAGGACAGCAGGGCAUUACUACUCUUCCAGCUCUCAGCCCUCUUUCCCUGCAGACCUGAUUCAGUACACUAAGGCUCCAUCCCUAUUCAUGCUUCAGCUCAGAGGUUUCCUUUAGGAACAAAUUGCCUGAUUGUACCUCCUUACCACACAGGUUUGCAACACCGAACAGUCUCACAGCACACAAACCAGAGGGUUUCAGAAGAAACAGAUCAAAAGAUGUGCUCCAGAAGCACAUCCAGAAGCACUUAACACACCCCAACCUGAAUGUCCAGCUGGUGGCCACGUAACCUACAGACUGGCACCAGAGGUGAUCUGAAACAUCCCAAAACAGAGAAUGGGCAGCUUGUAUCCAACACCUAAAACCUUGGUCCAUGAUUUCAGUCUUGCUAAAUCACUCUAGUUACUAAUGCAGUAACAAAAAAAUACUUCCUAAUCUUCUUCCAAUUUUUUUUCUCUUUAUUGCUUUUAAGGAACUAAACUGGCUUGUAGAGGAAUCCAACAGCUGCCAACAGUAGAACAAGAGUGAAACUGAAUCCUCACAGACAUCUGCUGACAAGGUAAACUAGGGGCAAGGUGAAGCAGAGCUGGGACUACUUGUCAUCUAGAGUUCCAGAAGAACAGGGAGAUCCUCAGAGACUACAGAGGCUUCAUGACAGACACCAUGUUCAGAAAGCCCUAGACUGUUAAACUAAAACAUAAUUUUGGAAAUAAUCUCCCUUACCUCAUCACUUCUUUACCACCAGCCUUUCCACUGUCAUUCCUGGCUUUUCAGUAGCACAGUAGCUUCAUAUGUAACACAAAUGGGGCUGGACACUGGAUUAAUAAAUAAAUUCACCU